Molecule: ribosomal RNA, 580 nt
Filed under: uncultured rumen bacterium
Lineage: Bacteria
Description: bacterial SSU rRNA
Rfam family: Bacterial small subunit ribosomal RNA
Source: RNAcentral
AGGACAUCUGAAGUGAAUCAAAGGUUUACCGCUAAGGGAUGGGGAUGCGUCUGAUUAGGCAGCAGGCGGGGUAACGGCCCACCUGGCCGACGAUCAGUAGGGGUUCUGAGAGGAAGGUCCCCCACAUUGGAACUGAGACACGGUCCAAACUCCUACGGGAGGCAGCAGUGAGGAAUAUUGGUCAAUGGUCGAGAGACUGAACCAGCCAAGUAGCGUGCAGGAUGACGGCCCUAUGGGUUGUAAACUGCUUUUAUGCGGGGAUAAAGUGAGGGACGUGUCCCUUUUUGUAGGUACCGCAUGAAUAAGGACCGGCUAAUUCCGUGCCAGCAGCCGCGGUAAUACGGAAGGUCCGGGCGUUAUCCGGAUUUAUUGGGUUUAAAGGGAGCGCAGGCGGAGGCUUAAGCGUGACGUGAAAUGUAGCCGCUCAACGGCUGAGUUGCGUCGCGAACUGGGUUUCUUGAGUGAGUGCGACGUCAGCGGAAUUCGUGGUGUAGCGGUGAAAUGCUUAGAUAUCACGAAGAACCCCGAUUGCGAAGGCAGCUGACGAGCCCUUUACUGACGCUAAAGCUCGAAGGUGCGG